UAGUCCACGCCGUAAACGAUGUUCACUCGCUGUUUGCGAUACACAGUAAGCGGCUGAGCGAAAGCAUUAAGUGAACCACCUGGGGAGUACGAUCGCAAGGUUGAAACUCAAAGGAAUUGACGGGGGCCCGCACAAGCGGAGGAACAUGUGGUUUAAUUCGAUGAUACGCGAGGAACCUUACCUGGGCUACAAUGCCUCUGCUACACCCUGAAAGGGGUGGUUCCUUCGGGACAGAGUGCAAGGUGCUGCAUGGCUGUCGUCAGCUCGUGUCGUGAGAUGUUGGGUUAAGUCCCGCAACGAGCGCAACCCUUGUCUUUAGUUGCCAUCAUUAAGUUGGGCACUUUAAAGAGACUGCCGUGACAAACCGGAGGAAGGUAAGGAUGACGUCAAGUCAGCAUGCCCCUUAUGCUCUGGGCUACACACGUGCUACAAUGGCCGUGACAAAGAGUUGCUACUUUGUGAAAACAAGCUAAUCUCAUAAACGCGGCCUCAGUUCGGAUUG
This 502-nucleotide ribosomal RNA is filed under the name uncultured bacterium. RNAcentral describes it as "bacterial SSU rRNA". It matches the Rfam family "Bacterial small subunit ribosomal RNA", at positions 791 to 1300 of the family's 1533-position model. The record is from RNAcentral.